RNA transcript from Lagopus muta (rock ptarmigan), 3846 nucleotides. It is a transcript of the gene named EGF like domain multiple 6, with no coding region annotated. The record is from RefSeq and is a predicted model, not a curated record. The transcript has 13 exons. NCBI's taxonomy places the organism in Eukaryota, Metazoa, Chordata, Aves, Galliformes, Phasianidae.
CGCCCCUCCACGCCAGGUUGAUCGGCUCCGGCUCGCCGCCCGCCACCUUACCGCUAGCAGAGCCUUCGCCCGCCGCGUCUGCCGCCUCACCGGCUGCGGCCGGGCCAUGGUGCCGGCGCCCGGGGGAACCCUGCUCGCCGCCUUCCUCGCCGCAGCGCUGGCCGCCGCGGGCAGCUCAAGAGCUCGUGGGCAGCUGGUGACUGUGAGCCAGCCAGGAGUGUGUCGCUAUGGUUCUAGGCUGGAUUGCUGUUAUGGCUGGAAAAAGAACAACAAGGGCCACUGUGAAGCUAUCUGUGGACAUGGCUGCAAGUAUGGUGAAUGCAUGGGACCAAACAAAUGCAAAUGUUUCCCUGGAUUUACAGGAAAAACCUGUAAUCAAGAUCUGAAUGAAUGUGGACUGAAACCACGUCCCUGUGAACACAGAUGCAUGAAUACACAUGGCAGCUACAAGUGCUAUUGUCUGAACGGGUACAUGCUCAUGCCAGAUGGCACAUGUGCAAGCUCUAGGACCUGUGCCAUUGCGAAUUGCCAGUAUGGUUGUGAGGAAGUCAAAGAGGAGGUACACUGUCUUUGUCCAUCAGCUGGCCUCCGUUUGGGACCAAGUGGGAGGACAUGCAUUGAUAUUGAUGAAUGCUCCACUGGCAGAGCUGUCUGCUCUUUCAAUCGCAGAUGUGUCAACACAUUUGGAAGCUACUACUGCAAGUGCCAGCUUGGUUAUGAACUGAAAUACAUCAGUGGCCAUUAUGACUGUGUAGAUGUAAAUGAAUGUGUGACAGCCACACACAGGUGUAACCUCCAUGCAGAGUGCCUCAACACAGAGGGAUCCUUCAAAUGCAAAUGUAAUCAGGGCUACCAAGGAAGUGGAUUUGAUUGUGCUGCUAUCCCUGAAAAAUCAGUGAAGGAAAUUCCAAGAAUCCCUGGAACAGCUAAGGACACAAUAAAGAAACUUCUUGCACAUAAAAACAGCGUGGCAAAGCAUAAAGCAAUCAAGAAUGUGAUCCCAGAAGCAGCCAUGACGCCAGCUUCUAAAACCCACUUGCAGUCACUGGACUAUGAAGGCGGUUUUGAUCGUGGUGGGAGUUACACUGUGGGAGAGAAAAGAACUGAAGUCACCAUAGAAGAGGAACUUGAUGAGACAGAUGAGGAGGAGAAGGAAGAUUAUGAGAAUCAGAUUGACCAUGAGCAAAGCCUUAGAGGAGAUGUCUUCUUUCCCCAGGGUAAAGAAGCAGCUGCCUUUGGCCCUCUCCUGGCACAAAGAAAAGUUGCGAUGACAAGACAAGAGCAUGAAGUUGACUGCAGUUUCAGUCGAGGAGUCUGCGACUGGAAACAAGAUACUAAUGAUGACUUUGACUGGAAUCCUGCUGAUCGAGACAGAGGUGAUGGAUACUACAUGGCUGUUCCAGCCUUUGUGGGUCACAAGAAGGAUAUGGGCCGCUUAAAACUUCUCCUGACCGACCUCAAACCAACGAGCAGCUACUGCUUGAUUUUCAGUUAUCGGCUCGCUGGCGAAAGAGUGGGAAAACUUCGAGUGCUCAUGGCCAACCAAAGAACUGCUCCUGUCUGGGAGCAGGACAAGGGAAAAGAUGAAAGGUGGCGAACUGGAAAAGUGGAAAUAUGGCAGGGUACUGAAACAACUAACAGUAUCACCUUUGAAUCAGAACGUGGGAAGGGCAAAACUGGAGAAAUUGGAGUGGACAAUGUUGUAUUAGUUCCCGGUCUAUGCCCAGAAGACACCUGAGAAUGGAUAUUUUGAGUAUUCUGGAUUUAGCCCUAUUUUCAACUCUUGCCUUGCUAGUAGUGUAUUUUUAAUCUUUUCAUUAUUAAAAAAAUGGAAACAUAAAUUUAAAACCUGUACCUUGAACUUAGUGCAGCAAUGCAAGCGGCAACUGACAGGUGCAAGAUGCAGAGCACACUUUUUAUGAAUUAGAUCUAAUACGUGCUUUGAAUACAGCACUACUAUAUUUUAACACUCAAGGUUAGGGCUUCUGAGGCAUUAAAAUAUGUGUCUAGCUUUUUUACAAAUUCUAUAUGCUUUCAUUCCUUAAAGCCCUUUUCAAGGCUGUUCUUAAGUUGUCUGUUGCAUUUCUACUUCACAAGAACACAAAGCAGUGUUGAAGAGGAUGCUACUGCUUCUGGUGAUGUGAUUUUAACUUCUUACUUAAUAUGUAGAUAGUAAAUUUAUUAAAAAAACAAUUAGAAGAAUGAGGAGGUUUUUUUCCUGUCUUCAUGGAGCUAAAUUUUAAGUGGAGUCACAUCUUUGAGGAAUAUUUUAAUUGCUAAUACAAUAUGCAAAAUACCCUCUUUGUCAUCAGUGUCUUUAAGUCACACAAAUCACUGUUUAGGAAUGAUCCACUUUUUUUUUCAUAGGCAUUUAAUAUGCAUCACAUAGAGAUGAUAUUACCAACUGGUAAUGAAAAAAGUAAAGAAAUUUUCACACUCUGUACUGACCUUCAGGAGCAGACAAGUUCCUGCUGGGUUACAGCGCUUCUUUACUGCGCAGAGCCUUGAAACAACCAUUUUCGUUUUCCAGUAGACAGGACGGUUUAGUGGCCUCACAGUAAGGCUCAUUCUUACAUUACACAAUGGGGAAAUAUAAAUCUUUUUUGCCAGUCCCUUCAUGUUCUUCAGACUUCAGCAAAAUGGAUAGAGGCUGCCCGCCUCCCCAGGAAUGGAGAAGGAAGCAGACUCUUCUCGCACAAAGUAGAAGCUGAUAUCUUGCCACUCUCUGCCACACAUGCCUCUGCAGGUACAUGUGUGUAAGGAGGCUCUGGAAUCCAGGUUCCACGUGUACUGAAAAGCUGAAUGAUUGAAGCGUGGGCAAAAGACCAUUUUCUCCUUUGUGAUCUCCUUGGAGAAUGUGUGACAUCUGCAUCUCAAGCAGACCGGGGUGCCUGAAACUGAGAAGAUUGAAGGUCUGUUUUAUUAAAAUUGAAUUCUGUGUCUAGCUGCCUAGGUGAAUUAGGCACUAACACCACCUUCUUGCACAGGAUGCAAGCAAGCGGCAGUCCCUGAAAAUACCAGUCUCUGUAACAAGUUUCUUGGAAACUGACAGAAAGUUAAAGUGGCCCAUGUGGAAUCGCCCAACUGCAUGUUGGCAUCAAAAGAGCUUGGCCAGCACGUCGAGGGAGGUGAUCCUCCUCCUCUGCUCUGUACUGAGCUGGAAGGGCACAGUGAGGUCUCUUCAGAGCCUUCUCUUCUCCAGCUAAACAAGCCCAGUCUCCUCAACCUUUCCUCGUAGGAGAUGCGUUCCAGUCCUCUGAUCAUCUUAGCGGCCCUCCUCUGGACCUGAUAGAAGAGCUCUGCAUAUUUCUUGUGCUGGGGGCUCCAGGCCUUGGAUGCAGUACUCCAGACGGGGCCUCGCAAGAGCUGAGUAGAGGAGGACUACCAUCUCUCUUUCCUUGCUGGCCACCCCUGUUUUAAUGCAGCCCAGAACACAGUUGGCUUUCCAGGCUGCAAGCGCACCCUGCUUGCUCCUAUCCAGUUUCUCGUCACAUAACAUCUCCUGCCAGUGACAGACUGAGGGAUGAACAUAUUGGCCAUUCAGGAUGCACAUGGAAACUCAAGCAGUCGGAAACAAACCUUUAAAACCACUGCAGAAUAUUCUGAUAGAAGCCCUCCACACAACCAGCUUCACCAGUUUGCAGUGCUGGUCUCUGUGCUUUUUGCUGUUGGUCUGUUACUCAAGGAACAUCAUUUCCAUCACAGCAGCCCAUCUUGGGGAGGAAGUCCUUAACCGCUCAGAGCCAUAACUGAUCAUCCUUUGCUUUCUAGAUUUCCAAGAAUAAUGUGAUCGAAUUCUUCCGAGGCAGGAAAUGCUCGAAUCAGAUGUUAGAGUCUGUUCCAUAA